UACGGAGGGUGCAAGCGUUAUCCGGAUUUACUGGGCUUAAAGGGUGUGUAGGCGGGCCUUUAAGUCUGGGGUGAAAUCUCCGAGCUCAACUCGGAAACUGCCCUGGAUACUAUUGGUCUUGAAUUAUGUUGAGGUUGGCGGAAUAUAACAUGUAGCGGUGAAAUGCAUAGAUAUGUUAUAGAACACCGAUUGCGAAGGCAGCUAACUAAGCAUAUAUUGACGCUGAGGCACGAAAGCGUGGGGAUCAAACAGG
RNAcentral lists this ribosomal RNA (253 nucleotides) under uncultured bacterium. RNAcentral describes it as "partial 16S ribosomal RNA". It matches the Rfam family "Bacterial small subunit ribosomal RNA", at positions 524 to 776 of the family's 1533-position model. The record is from RNAcentral.